Molecule: ribosomal RNA, 207 nt
Filed under: uncultured bacterium
Lineage: Bacteria
Description: partial 16S ribosomal RNA
Rfam family: Bacterial small subunit ribosomal RNA
Source: RNAcentral
CAUGUAGGCGGCUGUGAAGGUCGGGUGUGAAAGCCCUGGGCUCAACCCAGGAAAUGCGCCCGAAACCACACAGCUAGAGUUCGGGAGAGGGGUGUGGAAUUCCCGGUGUAGAGGUGAAAUUCGUAGAGAUCGGGAGGAACACUCGUGGCGAAGGCGACACCCUGGACCGCGACUGACGCUGAGAUGCGAAAGAGUGGGGAGCAAACA